This 294-nucleotide long non-coding RNA is filed under the name Trifolium pratense (red clover). RNAcentral describes it as "long non-coding RNA (TPRA_LNC013406)". Lineage: Eukaryota; Viridiplantae; Streptophyta; Magnoliopsida; Fabales; Fabaceae. The record is from RNAcentral.
UUUUUCAAUUUGACCUGCAAAACACAAAAAAUCAAAAGAAAAACUAUUACGGUUAAAUAAAACCUUGGGUUGCCUCCCAAGCAGCGCUACUUUUAGCGUCAUUAGCUUGACGGUCUUGAAACCUCAAGGGUCUUCGAAAAGCACUGCCACCUUGUGGCGAUUAAAAUCUCCUCCCUUAUAAAACUUAAGUCUUUGUCCAUUUACUUUGAAAGAUUUCUCCUCCUCUCCUGGUGUAAAAAUUUCUACAGCCCCGUGUGGAAAAACUUCCUUAAUGACAAAUGGACCAGACCACCG